RNAcentral lists this ribosomal RNA (235 nucleotides) under uncultured bacterium. RNAcentral describes it as "partial 16S ribosomal RNA". It matches the Rfam family "Bacterial small subunit ribosomal RNA", at positions 15 to 233 of the family's 1533-position model. The record is from RNAcentral.
GAUCAUGGCUCAGGAUGAACGCUGGCGGCGUGCUUAACACAUGCAAGUCGAACGGGAAAUAUUUCAUUGAGACUUCGGUGGAUUUGAUCUGUUUCUAGUGGCGGACGGGUGAGUAACGCGUGGGUAACCUGCCUUAUACAGGGGGAUAACAGUCAGAAAUGGCUGCUAAUACCGCAUAAGCGCACAGAGCUGCAUGGCUCAGUGUGAAAAACUCCGGUGGUAUAAGGUGGACCCG